UCGGUCUCUUCUGUUUCCAGUUUAUUGGCUGUUGAUCCAUCUCAGCUGUCUCAGCUCAAUUCAGUUCCCAAAAACACUACAUUUGAAACUGAUAAGAUGGUGGUUGUUCCUGUCACCUGCUCUUGUCCAGGAAAGUACUACCAAGUAAUCGCAUAUUAUGUUGUACAGCAAGAUGACAACUUCUAGUCAUUUCCAAUAACACUUUUUAAGACCUCUCAAAAAGAAGCCCAACUCCAUGAAUCAAUUGUUAAAAAAUAAGAUAUCCGAGACAUAUAUACAUAUAACAUAUACAAUAUAAUCAACUAACUAAUUAAAACCCACAUAUUCACAUACAAAAAUUACCUGAUUAGUGAUAUAUUCAUCGAUUUCUCCGGCUAUUCUUAAGUGCUUACAGCACAUGACUCCUUGGAUUCCUACACGACAAAUUUAUGUCCACUCUAAUGUGUUAUACGCAGUAUUUAAUCAGGUAGUAGCUAUAAAUAAUAUACCUCCAUUCUCGAGUAAAUCAG
RNAcentral lists this long non-coding RNA (509 nucleotides) under Daucus carota (carrot). RNAcentral describes it as "long non-coding RNA (DCAR_LNC005358)". Lineage: Eukaryota; Viridiplantae; Streptophyta; Magnoliopsida; Apiales; Apiaceae. The record is from RNAcentral.